RNAcentral lists this ribosomal RNA (1478 nucleotides) under human gut metagenome. RNAcentral describes it as "bacterial LSU rRNA". It matches the Rfam family "Bacterial large subunit ribosomal RNA", at positions 497 to 1992 of the family's 2925-position model. The record is from RNAcentral.
AGUACCGUGAGGGAAAGGUGAAAAGAACCGCGGGAGCGGAGUGAAAGAGAACCUGAAACCGUAUGCCUACAAGAAGUCAGAGCCCGUUAAGGGGUGAUGGCGUGCCUUUUGUAGAAUGAACCGGCGAGUUGCGACAGACUGCGAGGUUAAGGAGGAAAGACCGGAGCCGAAGCGAAAGCGAGUCUUAAUAGGGCGAAAGUAGGAUGUUGCAGACCCGAAACCGGGUGAUCUAGCCAUGAGCAGGUUGAAGUUGAGGUGAAACUCAAUGGAGGACCGAACCGACUACCGUUGAAAAGUUAGCGGAUGACUUGUGGCUAGGGGAGAAAUUCCAAUCGAACCCGGAGAUAGCUGGUUCUCCCCGAAAUAGCUUUAGGGCUAGCGUCGGAAAGAACCUUAGUGAAGGUAGAGCACUGAAUGUGUGAUGGCCCCAUCCCGGGGUACUGAAUACAAUCAAACUGCGAAUGUCAUUAAGGAUGUCCGGCAGUCAGACUGUGAGUGAUAAGGUCCAUGGUCAAGAGGGAAACAGCCCAGACCGCCAGUUAAGGUCCCAAAAUACAGGCUAAGUGGAAAAGGAUGUGGGGAUGCCCAGACAACUAGGAGGUUGGCUCAGAAGCAGCCAUCCUUUAAAGAGUGCGUAACAGCUCACUAGUCGAGUGACCCUGCGCCGAAAAUGUACCGGGGCUAAGCCUGAUACCGAAACUGCGGAUUGUAGGAAACUAUAGUGGUAGGGGAGCGUUGUAUACGAGUAGAAGCCGUACCGUGAGGAGCGGUGGAUUGUAUAGAAGUGAGAAUGCCGGUGUGAGUAGCGAGAUGUAGGUGAGAAUCCUACACACCGAAAGCCCAAGGAUUCCAGGGGAAGGUUCGUCCGCCCUGGGUAAGUCGGGACCUAACGCGAGGCCGAAAGGCGUAGUGGAUGGAAAGCAGGCGAAAGAUUCCUGCACCCGUAUAUGGAGCGAAGGAGUGACGGAGACGGAUAGUGUGACCCUCUUAAUGGAUUGAGGGCGAAGCGAAGCGGCUGGUUACCAGGCAAAUCCGGUAACUGAAAGGCUAGAGCGUGAUAGGUAAGCGAAAUCUUAGGAAAGUAGCGAAGCACAUGAUGACGGCUUCCAGGAAAAGCUUCUGGCAAUGCAUAUGCGGCCCGUACCAAAACCGACACAGGUGGGCAGGGAGAGAAUCCCGAGGUGAGCGAGAGAACUGUUGCCAAGGAACUCGGCAAAAUGACUCCGUAAGUUAGCGAGAAGGAGUGCUUAAGCAAUUAAGCCGCAGUGAAGAGGCCCAAGCGACUGUUUAACUAAAACACAGCUCUCUGCGAAGUCGCAAGACGAAGUAUAGGGGGUGACACCUGCCCGGUGCUGGAAGGUUAAGAGGAUCUGUUAAGAGUGAUCUGAAGCAGUGAUCCGAAGCCCCAGUGAACGGCGGCCGUAACUAUAACGGUCCUAAGGUAGCGAAAUUCCUUGUCAGGUAAGUUCUGACCCGCA